Molecule: transfer RNA, 72 nt
Filed under: Camelus bactrianus (Bactrian camel)
Lineage: Eukaryota; Metazoa; Chordata; Mammalia; Artiodactyla; Camelidae
Also listed under: 2 other names
Rfam family: tRNA
About the family: Transfer RNA (tRNA) molecules are approximately 80 nucleotides in length.
Source: Rfam by way of RNAcentral
GAGGGUACAGCUCAGUGGUAGAGUGCAUGCCUAGCAUGCAUGAGGUCCUUGGUUCAAUCCCUAGUAAAUUCA